GAGUUUAAUCUUGGCUCAGAUUGAACGCUGGCGGCAGGCCUAACACAUGCAAGUCGAGCGGAUGACGGGAGCUUGCUCCUUGAUUCAGCGGCGGACGGGUGAGUAAUGCCUAGGAAUCUGCCUGGUAGUGGGGGACAACGUUUCGAAAGGAACGCUAAUACCGCAUACGUCCUACGGGAGAAAGCAGGGGACCUUCGGGCCUUGCGCUAUCAGAUGAGCCUAGGUCGGAUUAGCUAGUUGGUGGGGUAAUGGCUCACCAAGGCGACGAUCCGUAACUGGUCUGAGAGGAUGAUCAGUCACACUGGAACUGAGACACGGUCCAGACUCCUACGGGAGGCAGCAGUGGGGAAUAUUGGACAAUGGGCGAAAGCCUGAUCCAGCAAUGCCGCGUGUGUGAAGAAGGUCUUCGGAUUGUAAAGCACUUUUGGCAGGGACGAUGAUGACGGUACCUGCAGAAUAAGCCCGGCUAACUUCGUGCCAGCAGCCGCGGUAAU
This 494-nucleotide ribosomal RNA is filed under the name bacterium enrichment culture clone ALO1_GLFRUDD03GW1KZ. RNAcentral describes it as "bacterial SSU rRNA". It matches the Rfam family "Bacterial small subunit ribosomal RNA", at positions 9 to 524 of the family's 1533-position model. The record is from RNAcentral.